AUGGGACCUGGACGAACAGUUCGCCCACCAAGGAAUGCCCCACAAUCUCAAGGUCAACAUUCUGGGAGUACCUCAGCAUCAAAAUCCAGGAAGGUGCGUGGGAUAAAUAAGGGAAAGGGCUUGGGGCGUUUGAUCAAAAGGGAAGGUCAUCCACUAAACUUGACCAUCUCCGAAGAGAGAAGACCUAUUGGAGAAAAUAAUGAACUACUUUCCAGAGAGAUUGGACUUCUUACACGGUACCAUGCACCUAUCCAACGUGCCGGGUGGCAUAGUCUUACUGAGGAUGAUAAGGAGCCGUUGUAUGAACUUCUAAAGCUUAAGUUCAAUCUUGAUUUCACCCAAGAUCAUAUCAAAGGCUGUGUGGAUCUGCUAUUCUCUUCAAGCUACAAAAGUUUCCGUCACAAGUGUUAUGAAUAUUAUGUAAAAUCUGGUGAUGAUGCUAGAAGCAAUCCAUAUCCUCCCCUUAUUGAUAAUAGAGUUGGAGACUGGAUUUGGCUCUGUGAUCAUUUUGAAACAGAAGAAUUUAAGAAACGGUCCACAAUUGGGAAGGCUAACCACUCAAACCUACCUUAUGUUCACAAGAAGGGAACAAAGUCAUUUGUAGUGGUUCAACAUGAAUUAAAUUGUGGCAUAUCGGACUAUACAAGGAGUGUUACUCUAGUGAUAAGAAGGGAUGGGCAUCAGAAGAUGCCAGGAAUAAACAUGAAGAAAUGUUGCAGAAGCAAAAGGAACCCAUAG
RNAcentral lists this ribosomal RNA (738 nucleotides) under Triticum aestivum (bread wheat). Its description in RNAcentral is "partial small subunit ribosomal RNA". The record is from RNAcentral. Lineage: Eukaryota; Viridiplantae; Streptophyta; Magnoliopsida; Poales; Poaceae.